UUCUCCUCACGCUUCCACAACCCGCAGGGGCGGGGGGGGAGCCGCCCUGGGCGGGGGCGGGGCCCCCGGGCAGAUGAAAGAAUCCGAGCCGCUGAUAAAAUGGUGCGCGAGCGGAGCGAUGAGCUGAUCCAAUAUGGCCCCCUUCCCUGACAGAAGCCAAUCCCGGGCGCGUUUACUCUGGAGGUUCCCGCAGAGACCUGGAUACUGGUCCUACAGCACGGGGAUCCUAUAAGAUCUCGACCUCAGACUUUCAUACAGAAACAUCAUUCGCUUAACUUGCUUUCGGAGCUUAAUACCAAGAUGGGCUGCAAUACCAGCAAGAGUACAACAGCGGUGGAAUCUGCUCAGAAGCCAGGAGAACAACCUGAGAGGGAAGAUAAAAAUGAGGACACAGGUGCUGAAACAACUGCAAAUGACCUCCAUAACUCAUCUGUUAAGGAUGGUGUUUCUGAUAUAACAAGCUGAAAUUGGAAACUACUGCUCCACACACAGAACGUAACUAUGAAGUAUACAAUUUAUUUACUGAUGUUUCUGGCUGGAGCACACAGAUUCUGUCAUCUUAUUUCUCUACAAACUGAGGGGUCAAUGGAGGGGGAUGGGGGAAGAGGAUUUCUUCUGGAUAAAAUCUUUCAUAAAGAAUCUCAAGGAAUCUUCCUGGAAAUACCCACUGUACAUCACUAAUGGAUGUAAAAUUCUGUCAUCUAACUAGACUAAAUACUGAGAAAAUAGAGAGAGAGCUCUUCCCUCGUGAAUACUCAAGGAAAACUGCAUACUUCUCUGGGAUAGGAACUAAUCAACAAUCAAUGCCACUUUCUGGAGACUGGCAGGUCUGAAGCGAAUUCACUUUGACAUCAAUAGACUCUAGCUGAUCGAAACCAUUCCACGCUCAAAUCCUGUGUUUAUGAAAUAGCUUCUGUUUCACAUGACUAUUUUCAGUUUAAAUAGCAAUUUUACUAGUUUAUAAUAUGCCUGUAUUGUACGUGAAACAAUGCAUCUGAUUUUAUUUGAAAAAAUUCAGACAUAAUAUCUUGGAAAUGUUAACUAAUUCAUGACAUUUCACAAAACUCUAGCAUAGUAUUUUGUGGAUUUUAUGAAAUCUUAAUCACAUUUCAAAACAAUAACGAUUUAUCAAGCUGGAACAUGCGGCUAUUUACAGUUCAUUUUUAUAACUAUGAUGGAAUCUGAUUCUGCUUUCACUAUUUAAAAAAAAUUGAGUAUAAUUUUGUAAUCUCCUGCAUUUGAACGCUUUUCUAUAUUUGAAAUGCAUACCAAAUUCACAAAACUUUAUUUGUGUUUUUCAACAAGACUGUGUAACUACAGAAGAAAAGCUAUUUCCAUCCAGGUUAACUAUGUCUAUAUUUGCCCGAGGGGGAAGGAUGACAGUUAAAAUUCAUCUACUAGAUGAUAAAAUAGCAUAUUGUAGUUCCUUCAGUUCUUUAGCACUUGUACUGUAACUAUGUUAACUUGAGUAACAUGAUUUUUUUUCUUUUAUAGUAACCUUUAGACAAAUUUUCCUCUUCUGUUCAGGAAUUGUCCAUAAACCUACAGUUUUCUUCUUCAUAAUUUGAAAUCAAAUUCUUGAGAAAAAUUCUUGGUCUGUGGAUCAGUUGUGAGCUGUUCAUGUAUUCGGUACCUGAAAUGAAAUUUGUUUUGGCUGGGCAUGUAAAGGUACUUGUAAGAUUCCUUUCUGUUGUGUGGAGGGGUGUAACUCAGGCUCAAAUCAGUUUUUUAUUUUAAGGAUUCAGGAUGUAUAUUCUGUAAUAUUUGCAUGAAAUUCAAGAAUGUAUAUAAGUACAGUCCAGUCAUUCAAUAGUUAAACAAUGUUUUCAGCAGAAAUUCUAUCUAAAGCCUUUGUAACCCAACCCAGCAGAAUUGGGAUAACAGAUUUUUGAUUGUACUCUGAAAAAUUCAUACACCUAUGCAUCUGGAUGACUACUUCUGUGAUGAUAGUAGGCCUUCACUUUGUUCCUUGAUUGCUAUGUAUAUCUGUAAUGCUAAUAACUCAAGAACAAAAAUCUAGUAAAAGGUGACUUGCUUAUAUAAA
This is a long non-coding RNA of Caretta caretta (loggerhead turtle), 2044 nucleotides long. RefSeq lists it as uncharacterized. The record is from RefSeq and is a predicted model, not a curated record. Lineage: Eukaryota; Metazoa; Chordata; Testudines; Cheloniidae.